RNAcentral lists this microRNA precursor (156 nucleotides) under Picea abies (Norway spruce). RNAcentral describes it as "miR11497 stem-loop (pab-MIR11497)". The record is from miRBase by way of RNAcentral. Lineage: Eukaryota; Viridiplantae; Streptophyta; Pinopsida; Pinales; Pinaceae.
GCAAGGGAUAUCAGCCAUGAACAAGUUGUGUGGAUAUCAACGUCUUACAGGUUGCGCCAACGUGCAUAGUCCGAUAUAUAUGCGCACAUACGUCCCACAGCACACCCUGUAAAGUGUUGGUAUCUGCUCAAUUUGUUCAUGGCAGACAUCCCUUGC